GGAUUGAGAAGGUACUGUGCACUUCAGGCCACCCUUGCCCUCUGUGACUUUUUGCUCUCAAGCUAUGCUGUGGUUGAGCUUUGUCACUGUCCCCAGACCUUCUGGACAAGACCUGAGUGAGAACAUAGCAAAGAUGAACUUAAUGAAAUCAAUCCAUCUGAAACCAUGGAAAAUUUCUUCACUGAAGAGAGUAUGCAUGGUUCACAUUGCCAUUGCCAAUUCCCAUUGUUGAUAGGAGUCUGGGUCUGGUGUUCCUCAUAUGAUUUGGAAUGUCCACAUAUGUCCAGGAUGGAGCAUUUGUGACAAAUCAAGAGAUGCAGAUAUCCCAGUGCAGGCAGAGGGUACAGAGGACCUCAAACAGGACAAGGCAC
This is a long non-coding RNA of Sciurus carolinensis (gray squirrel), 371 nucleotides long. RefSeq lists it as uncharacterized. The transcript has 4 exons. The record is from RefSeq and is a predicted model, not a curated record. NCBI's taxonomy places the organism in Eukaryota, Metazoa, Chordata, Mammalia, Rodentia, Sciuridae.